Molecule: unclassified non-coding RNA, 148 nt
Organism: Macaca fascicularis (crab-eating macaque)
Lineage: Eukaryota; Metazoa; Chordata; Mammalia; Primates; Cercopithecidae
Rfam family: Metazoan signal recognition particle RNA
About the family: The signal recognition particle (SRP) is a universally conserved ribonucleoprotein. It is involved in the co-translational targeting of proteins to membranes. The eukaryotic SRP consists of a 300-nucleotide 7S RNA and six proteins: SRPs 72, 68, 54, 19, 14, and 9.
Source: Ensembl
GCUGGGCAUGGUGGCGUGUGCCUGUAGUCCCAGCUACUUCGGAGGCUGAGGCAGGAGAAUCGCUUGAACCCAGGAGGCAGAGGUUGCAGUGAGCUGAUAUCACGCCACUGCACUCCAGCCUGAGUGACAGAGUGAUACUCGGUCUCAA